RNAcentral lists this ribosomal RNA (515 nucleotides) under uncultured Desulfobulbus sp. RNAcentral describes it as "bacterial SSU rRNA". It matches the Rfam family "Bacterial small subunit ribosomal RNA", at positions 903 to 1382 of the family's 1533-position model. Lineage: Bacteria; Pseudomonadati; Thermodesulfobacteriota; Desulfobulbia; Desulfobulbales; Desulfobulbaceae. The record is from RNAcentral.
CGCCUUGCCAGCCCGCUCAGAAACUACAAAGGAAAGUUGACGGGGGCCCGGCACAAGCGGUGGAGUAUGUGGUUUAAUUCGAUGCAACGCGAAGAACCUUACCUGGUCUUGACAUCCCGGAGACCCUUAGGAAACUAGGGGGUGCUUCCAUCUGGAAGAAUCUGGAGACAGGUGCUGCAUGGCUGUCGUCAGUUCGUGUCGUGAGAUGUUGGGUUAAGUCCCGCAACGAGCGCAACCCUUGCCUUUAGUUGCCAGCAGUUCGGCUGGGCACUCUAAAGGGACUGCCGGUGUUAAACCGGAGGAAGGUGGGGAUGACGUCAAGUCCUCAUGGCCUUUAUGACCAGGGCUACACACGUACUACAAUGGCCGAUACAAAGGGCAGCGACACUGCGAGGUGAAGCCAAUCCCGUAAAAUCGGUCUCAGUCCGGAUUGGAGUCUGCAACUCGACUCCAUGAAGUUGGAAUCGCUAGUAAUCGUGGAUCAGCAUGCCACGGUGAAUACGUUCCCGGGCCUU